CGGGACACGUGGUAUCCUGUCUGAAUAUGGGGGGACCAUCCUCCAAGGCUAAAUACUCCUGACUGACCGAUAGUGAACCAGUACCGUGAGGGAAAGGCGAAAAGAACCCCGGCGAGGGGAGUGAAAAAGAACCUGAAACCGUGUACGUACAAGCAGUGGGAGCCUCUUUAUGGGGUGACUGCGUACCUUUUGUAUAAUGGGUCAGCGACUUAUAUUCUGUAGCAAGGUUAACCGAAUAGGGGAGCCGAAGGGAAACCGAGUCUUAACUGGGCGUUAAGUUGCAGGGUAUAGACCCGAAACCCGGUGAUCUAGCCAUGGGCAGGUUGAAGGUUGGGUAACACUAACUGGAGGACCGAACCGACUAAUGUUGAAAAAUUAGCGGAUGACUUGUGGCUGGGGGUGAAAGGCCAAUCAAACCGGGAGAUAGCUGGUUCUCCCCGAAAGCUAUUUAGGUAGCGCCUCGUGAAUUCAUCUCCGGGGGUAGAGCACUGUUUCGGCAAGGGGGUCAUCCCGACUUACCAACCCGAUGCAAACUGCGAAUACCGGAGAAUGUUAUCACGGGAGACACACGGCGGGUGCUAACGUCCGUCGUGAAGAGGGAAACAACCCAGACCGCCAGCUAAGGUCCCAAAGUCAUGGUUAAGUGGGAAACGAUGUGGGAAGGCCCAGACAGCCAGGAUGUUGGCUUAGAAGCAGCCAUCAUUUAAAGAAAGCGUAAUAGCUCACUGGUCGAGUCGGCCUGCGCGGAAGAUGUAACGGGGCUAAACCAUGCACCGAAGCUGCGGCAGCGACACUAUGUGUUGUUGGGUAGGGGAGCGUUCUGUAAGCCUGCGAAGGUGUACUGUGAGGUAUGCUGGAGGUAUCAGAA
Molecule: ribosomal RNA, 868 nt
Filed under: Escherichia coli
Lineage: Bacteria; Pseudomonadati; Pseudomonadota; Gammaproteobacteria; Enterobacterales; Enterobacteriaceae
Description: partial 23S ribosomal RNA
Rfam family: Bacterial large subunit ribosomal RNA
Source: RNAcentral